CCUACGGGUGGCAGCAGUGAGGAAUAUUGGUCAAUGGGCGAGAGCAUGAACCAGACAAGUCGCGUGAGGGAAGACGGUCCUAUGGAUUGUAAACCUCUUUUGCGGGGGAGCAAAAAGCGGUACGUGUAACGCAUCGAGAGUACCCGGAGAAAAAGCAUCGGCUAAAUCCGUGCCAGCAGCCGCGGUAAUACGGAGGAUGCGAGCGUUAGACGGAGGUAGUGGGUUUAAAGGGUGAGCAGGCGGCGAGUUAAGUCAGCGGUAAAAUUUCGGGGCUCAACCCCGACGAGGCGUUGAAACUGUGUUGCUAGAGUGGGCGUGACGUAUGCGGAAUGCGUGGUGUAGCGGUGAAAUGCAUAGAUAUCACGCAGAACUCCGAUUGCGAAGGCAGCAUACCGGCGCCCAACUGACGCUCAGGCACGAAAGCGUGGGUAUCGAACAGGAUUAGAUACCCGAGUAGUC
This 459-nucleotide ribosomal RNA is filed under the name uncultured bacterium. RNAcentral describes it as "partial 16S ribosomal RNA". It matches the Rfam family "Bacterial small subunit ribosomal RNA", at positions 338 to 795 of the family's 1533-position model. The record is from RNAcentral.